This 373-nucleotide ribosomal RNA is filed under the name uncultured organism. Its description in RNAcentral is "bacterial SSU rRNA". It matches the Rfam family "Bacterial small subunit ribosomal RNA", at positions 526 to 896 of the family's 1533-position model. The record is from RNAcentral.
CGGGGGGGGCAAGCGUUGUUCGGAAUUACUGGGCGUAAAGGGCUCGUAGGUGGCCAACUAAGUCAGACGUGAAAUCCCUCGGCUUAACCGGGGAACUGCGUCUGAUACUGGAUGGCUUGAGAUUGGGAGAGGGAUGCGGAAUUCCAGGUGUAGCGGUGAAAUGCGUAGAUAUCUGGAGGAACACCGGUGGCGAAGGCGGCAUCCUGGACCAACACUGACGCUGAGGAGCGAAAGCCAGGGGAGCAAACGGGAUUAGAUACCCCGGUAGCCCUGGCCCUAAACGAUGAAUGCUUGGUGUGGCGGGUAUCGAUCCCUGCCGUGCCGAAGCUAACGCAUUAAGCAUUCCGCCUGGGGGAGUACGGUCGCAAGGCUG